AUGCAGGCUGAUGUAAGAUGUGGGCUUGUUUCCUCCACUGGCUGUGCUCCUUUGAUAUGUCGGGUGUGUUUCUUUAUCUUGGAGCAGAAGGAGGUCUUCACGGUGGUGGUUGUGGCUUCAGCCUCUGGUGAUGGCCAAGUGGUCAGGAUCUACAGACCUCAGAGCACGUCUGCUAAACACAUCUCAGUCCACUGCAAACAGGACCCAGGGAUUAUCAUCACAGAGAAAUUUCCUCCCGUGAAGCCUGCAUUCACAGUUUAUGGAGCAAAACAAUCAGAAGAGCCUUUCUGGAUGCCUGCUUGUCGGGUGCUGUGAAGGUGCCAAACUAAACAAUGUUAUUGUUACCUCCUGAGACGUGUGCCUAAGAGAAGCUCUGGCUUUUAAAAACCCUCUGCAGUGUCACACGGGUGACCACCUGGACAGGACAGCUCUUCCUCCUCUCAUCCCGUGCCCGUUACUUCUCCUCCCGUGAGUGAAGAGCCUCUCCCUUUCUUUUUCUUUUUUUUUUUUUUUUUUUUGCUUUAAAUUUGUUCUCUCUCCUUUUGGAUAUUAACAAAUUGCAUUUAUUGUUUCCUUUCCAUGUCAUCCUGUCCCAUUAGGUCAAGGCAUUUGAGGGAAUGCAUCUGCAUUGGGAUGUAUGCUUCUGCUCAGGCUGCACGGCUCAAAUGGGGUGAGUUGGACCCUCAGCAUUUUCUCCUUUAUGCACUAUUUUUGACUGAAAACUCAUUUGUCAACAAACAUCGUUUUUGACUUGGGCAGGUGCCUGACAUAAGGCCACCAGGAAGGGUUUGGCUCCCAGCUCGGGUUCCCCUUGGCUUUUCUUCUCAUUUCCACCAUGGCCCUGCUGCAACCACAGUUGUUUGGGGAACGUUUGCAGAGGAAGAGCUGGGGUGAAGGUGGAUUUUUACCAAUCCCAGAGACAUUGUGAGGAAGAGCUCGGUCGUAAUGGUGUUAAGGCAGCACAGGUGUUGCACCAGUAAGGACUGGAAACCUAAGGUGGGUUACAAACUGGCUUGAACCCAGUCGACAGUAUCAGAUGGACUCUUCUUGCAGGUUGUAAAUACCAAAAUUCUAUAUGAAGCUUGGGGAAUUAUAGUAUUUUAAUUUUUAAAAUUUUGCAAGCACAAAUGACUCCUUAGGUGGGCAAAUACGUCUCUUCUCUCAAGUCACAGGCGACAGGACAAGAGGAAAUGGCCUCAAGUUGCACCAGGGGAGGGUCAGGCUGGAUAUUAGGAAAAAUUUUUUCACUGAAAGGGUUCUCAGACAUUGGAAUGGGCUGCCCAGGGAGGGGGUUGAGGCCCCAUCCCUGGAGGUG
RNAcentral lists this long non-coding RNA (1315 nucleotides) under Calidris pugnax (ruff). RNAcentral describes it as "lncRNA (ENSCPUG00000015692.1)". The record is from RNAcentral. Lineage: Eukaryota; Metazoa; Chordata; Aves; Charadriiformes; Scolopacidae.